UUCCUCUUUAAAAACUUGUUCACAAAUGAAUUCAACUCAGCAGCCAUGACAGCUCAAAGGCUCGGCAUCGUCCUGCGGUACACCGUGUUCCAUGAAUGAGGAUCACUGGUUGCCUGGCCACCUAAAACACUGGCAUCUGAGAGAGCUCUGCUCUUUGUCAGAGGACACCAUUCCAGUCCUGAGAGCUCUCAGCCAUGCCGUCUCAGACUCCUCACUGUAUCAGGGGCGUUAGCUGAUAGCGACCCCCUUCAACCAUGCCUCCAGCAUUCCACUGAGAGAGGUGGCGUCUGGUGGCGUCUGGUGGCCCGCUCCCACAGACCAGCAGUGGCCCAAUCAGAAUGUCUGCAUUUGCUGAGGGAGCCUUUCGGAGACAGAAAGAUAGAGGGGUUAAACUAUCUGACAGAAAGAUAGAGAGAGAGGUUAAACUAUCUGAGACAGAAAGAGAGAGAGAGGGGUUAAACUAUCUGAGACAGAAAGAGAGAGAGAGGGGUUAAACUAUCUGAGACAGAAAGAGAGAGAGAGGGGUUAAACUAUCUGAGACAGAAAGAGAGAGAGAGAGGUUAAACUAUGAGACAGAAAGAGAGAGAGAGGGGUUAAACUAUCUGAGACAGAAAGAGAGAGAGAGAGGGGUUAAACUAUGAGACACAAAGA
Long non-coding RNA from Clupea harengus (Atlantic herring), 651 nucleotides. Lineage: Eukaryota; Metazoa; Chordata; Actinopteri; Clupeiformes; Clupeidae. The record is from Ensembl.